RNAcentral lists this ribosomal RNA (479 nucleotides) under uncultured bacterium. RNAcentral's name for it is "bacterial SSU rRNA". It matches the Rfam family "Bacterial small subunit ribosomal RNA", at positions 28 to 507 of the family's 1533-position model. The record is from RNAcentral.
GAUGAACGCUAGCGGCAGGCUUAACACAUGCAAGUCGAGGGGUAUAGUAGCAAUACUAGAGACCGGCGCACGGGUGCGUAACGCGUAUGCAAUCUACCUUUUGCAGAGGGAUAGCCCAGAGAAAUUUGGAUUAAUACCUCAUAGUAUAUAUGGAUGGCAUCAUUUAUAUAUUAAAGUCACAACGGCAAAAGAUGAGCAUGCGUCCCAUUAGCUUGUUGGUAAGGUAACGGCUUACCAAGGCAACGAUGGGUAGGGGUCCUGAGAGGGAGAUCCCCCACACUGGUACUGAGACACGGACCAGACUCCUACGGGAGGCAGCAGUGAGGAAUAUUGGUCAAUGGGCGGAAGCCUGAACCAGCCAUGCCGCGUGCAGGAUGACGGCCCUACGGGUUGUAAACUGCUUUUCCCCCGGGGCGAAUAACCCCCCUCGCGAGGGGGAGUGCCGGUACCGGGGGAAGUAAGGAUCGGCUAACUCCGUG